Molecule: ribosomal RNA, 592 nt
Filed under: uncultured bacterium
Lineage: Bacteria
Description: bacterial SSU rRNA
Rfam family: Bacterial small subunit ribosomal RNA
Source: RNAcentral
UUUGAUCCUGGCUCAGGAUGAACGCUGGCGGCGUGCUUAACACUGCAAGUCGAGCGAAGCAUAUAAGCGGAAGUUUUCGGAUGGAAGCGUGUAUGACUGAGCGGCGGACGGGUGAGUAACGCGUGGGUAACCUGCCUCAUACAGGGGGAUAACAGUUAGAAAUGACUGCUAAUACCGCAUAAGCGCACAGGACCGCAUGGUCAAGUGUGAAAAACUCCGGUGGUAUGAGAUGGACCCGCGUCUGAUUAGCUGGUUGGUGAGGUAACGGCCCACCAAGGCGACGAUCAGUAGCCGACCUGAGAGGGUGGCCGGCCACAUUGGGACUGAGACACGGCCCAAACUCCUACGGGAGGCAGCAGUGGGGAAUAUUGCACAAUGGGGGAAACCCUGAUGCAGCAACGCCGCGUGAGUGAAGAAGUAUUUCGGUAUGUAAAGCUCUAUCAGCAGGGAAGAAAGAAAUGACGGUACCUGACUAAGAAGCCCCGGCUAACUACGUGCCAGCAGCCGCGGUAAUACGUAGGGGGCAAGCGUUAUCCGGAUUUACUGGGUGUAAAGGGAGCGUANACGGCGAUGCAAGUCUGAAAUGAAAGGC